RNAcentral lists this transfer RNA (87 nucleotides) under Melitaea cinxia (Glanville fritillary). RNAcentral's name for it is "misc RNA ENSMCXG00005023260.1". It matches the Rfam family "tRNA". From Rfam's summary of the family: Transfer RNA (tRNA) molecules are approximately 80 nucleotides in length. Lineage: Eukaryota; Metazoa; Arthropoda; Insecta; Lepidoptera; Nymphalidae. The record is from RNAcentral.
CCUUCGAUAGCUCAGUUGGUAGAGCGGUGGACUGUAGAGUGUCUCAAAGUAAUCCAUAGGUCGCUGGUUCAAAUCCGGCUCGAAGGA